UACGAAGGGGGCUAGCGUUGUUCGGAAUCACUGGGCGUAAAGCGCACGCAGGCGGAUUGAUAAGUCAGGGGUGAAAUCCCGGAGCUCAACUUCGGAAUUGCCUUUGAUACUGUCUAUCUUCGAGUUCGGGAGAGGUUGGCGGAAUUCCUAGUGUAGAGGUGAAAUUCGUAGAUAUUAGGAAGAACACCAGUGGCGAAGGCGGCCAACUGGCCCGAUACUGACGCUCAUGUGCGAAAGCGUGGGGAGCAAACAGGG
This 255-nucleotide ribosomal RNA is filed under the name uncultured bacterium. Its description in RNAcentral is "partial 16S ribosomal RNA". It matches the Rfam family "Bacterial small subunit ribosomal RNA", at positions 524 to 777 of the family's 1533-position model. The record is from RNAcentral.